Molecule: non-coding RNA, 58 nt
Organism: Aedes albopictus (Asian tiger mosquito)
Lineage: Eukaryota; Metazoa; Arthropoda; Insecta; Diptera; Culicidae
Source: Rfam
UAGCCUAGUGGUUAAGGCUAUGGAUCGCCAAUCCGGAGACGACGGGUUCGAUUCCUGU